Molecule: ribosomal RNA, 465 nt
Filed under: uncultured bacterium
Lineage: Bacteria
Description: partial 16S ribosomal RNA
Rfam family: Bacterial small subunit ribosomal RNA
Source: RNAcentral
GACGAACGCUGGCGGCGUGCUUAACACAUGCAAGUCGAACGGAAAGGCCCUGCUUGCAGGGUACUCGAGUGGCGAACGGGUGAGUAACACGUGGGUGAUCUGCCCUGCACUUCGGGAUAAGCCUGGGAAACUGGGUCUAAUAUCGGAUAGGAGCCAUUUUUAGUGUGAUGGUUGGAAAGUUUUUUCGGUGUAGGAUGAGCUCGCGGCCUAUCAGCUUGUUGGUGGGGUAAUGGCCUACCAAGGCGGCGACGGGUAGCCGGCCUGAGAGGGUGGACGGCCACAUUGGGACUGAGAUACGGCCCAGACUCCUACGGGAGGCAGAAGUGGGGAAUAUUGCACAAUGGGCGCAAGCCUGAUGCAGCGACGCCGCGUGGGGGAUGACGGCCUUCGGGUUGUAAACUCCUUUCGCUAGGGACGAAGCUUUUUGUGACGGUACCUAGAUAAGAAGCACCGGCUAACUACGUG